This 587-nucleotide ribosomal RNA is filed under the name uncultured bacterium. Its description in RNAcentral is "bacterial SSU rRNA". It matches the Rfam family "Bacterial small subunit ribosomal RNA", at positions 338 to 917 of the family's 1533-position model. The record is from RNAcentral.
CCUACGGGAGGCAGCAGUGGGGAAUAUUGCGCAAUGGGCGAAAGCCUGACGCAGCCAUGCCGCGUGUGUGAAGAAGGCCUUAGGGUUGUAAAGCACUUUCAAUUGGGAGGAAGGGGUUAAAGUUAAUAGCUUUGACUUUUGACGUUACCUUUAGAAGAAGCACCGGCUAACUCCGUGCCAGCAGCCGCGGUAAUACGGAGGGUGCGAGCGUUAAUCGGAAUUACUGGGCGUAAAGCGCGCGUAGGCGGUUUGUUAAGUCGGAUGUGAAAGCCCCGGGCUCAACCUGGGAACUGCACCCGAUACUGGCCGACUUGAGUGCGAGAGAGGGAGGUAGAAUUCCAUGUGUAGCGGUGAAAUGCGUAGAUAUAUGGAGGAAUACCGGUGGCGAAGGCGGCCUCCUGGCUCGACACUGACGCUGAGGUGCGAAAGCGUGGGUAGCAAACAGGAUUAGAUACCCUGGUAGUCCACGCCGUAAACGAUGUCUACUAGCCGUUGGGGAACUUGAUUCUUUAGUGGCGCAGCUAACGCACUAAGUAGACCGCCUGGGGAGUACGGCCGCAAGGUUAAAACUCAAAGGAAUUGACGGA